UACGUAGGGGGCUAGCGUUGUCCGGAAUCAUUGGGCGUAAAGAGCGUGUAGGCGGCCAGGUAGGUCUGCUGUGAAAACUCGAGGCUCAACCUCGAGACGUCGGCGGAAACCAUCUGGCUAGAGUCCGGAAGAGGAGAGUGGAAUUCCUGGUGUAGCGGUGAAAUGCGCAGAUAUCAGGAGGAACACCAAUGGCGAAGGCAGCUCGCUGGGAAGUGACUGACGCUGAGACGCGAAAGCGUGGGGAGCAAACAGG
This 253-nucleotide ribosomal RNA is filed under the name uncultured bacterium. RNAcentral's name for it is "partial 16S ribosomal RNA". It matches the Rfam family "Bacterial small subunit ribosomal RNA", at positions 524 to 776 of the family's 1533-position model. The record is from RNAcentral.